UAAUACGUAGGGGGCGAGCGUUGUCCGGAUUUAUUGGGCGUAAAACGCUUGUAGGCGGCCACGCCGCGUCGGACGUGAAAUCUCCCGGCUUAACUGGGAGGGGUCGUGCGAUACGGGCGGGCUCGAGGCAGGUAGGGGGAAGCGGAAUUCCCGGUGUAGUGGUGGAAUGCGUAGAUAUCGGGAGGAACACCAGUGGCGAAGGCGGCUUCCUGGACCUGAUCUGACGCUGAGGAGCGAAAGCGUGGGGAGCGAUCCGGAUUAGAUACCCGGGUAGUCCACGCCGUAAACGGUGAGCACUAGAUGUCGGGGGUAUCGACCCCUCCGGUGUCGCAGCUAACGCAUUAAGUGCUCUGCCUGGGGAGUACGGCCGCAAGGCUA
This 378-nucleotide ribosomal RNA is filed under the name uncultured bacterium. Its description in RNAcentral is "bacterial SSU rRNA". It matches the Rfam family "Bacterial small subunit ribosomal RNA", at positions 521 to 896 of the family's 1533-position model. The record is from RNAcentral.